ACGACGCUGGCGGCGUGCCUAACACAUGCAAGUCGAACGGGGAUAGAUAGCUUGCUAUUUAUUCUAGUGGCGCACGGGUGAGUAACGCGUAGAUAAUCUGCCUUGGACUCUGGGAUAACAUUUCGAAAGGGGUGCUAAUACCGGAUAAGCCCACGGGGACGUAAGUUCUUGCGGGAAAAGGGGGCCUCUGCAUAUGCUCUUGAUCCAAGAUGAGUCUGCGUACCAUUAGCUAGUUGGUAGGGUAAGAGCCUACCAAGGCGACGAUGGUUAGCUGGUCUGAGAGGAUGAUCAGCCACACUGGAACUGAGACACGGUCCAGACUCCUACGGGAGGCAGCAGUGGGGAAUUUUGCGCAAUGGGGGAAACCCUGACGCAGCAACGCCGCGUGAGUGAUGAAGGCUUUCGGGUCGUAAAGCUCUGUCUAGAGGGAAGAAAUGAUAUUGGGUUAAUACCCUGAUUUCUUGACGGUACCUCUGAAGGAAGCACCGGCUAACUCCGUGCCAGCAGCCGCGGUAAUACGGAGGGUGCAAGCGUUGUUCGGAAUUAUUGGGCGUAAAGCGCGUGUAGGCGGUUUGUUAAGUCUGAUGUGAAAGCCCCGGGCUCAACCUGGGAAGUGCAUUGGAAACUGUCAGACUUGAAUACGGGAGAGGGUAGUGGAAUUCCUAGUGUAGGAGUGAAAUCCGUAGAUAUUAGGAGGAACACCGGUGGCGAAGGCGGCUACCUGGACCGAUAUUGACGCUGAGACGCGAAAGCGUGGGUAGCAAACAGGAUUAGAUACCCUGG
Molecule: ribosomal RNA, 783 nt
Filed under: uncultured bacterium
Lineage: Bacteria
Description: bacterial SSU rRNA
Rfam family: Bacterial small subunit ribosomal RNA
Source: RNAcentral